AGCAAUUGCUGAGCGCUGCUGGGGAGGCGGGAAGGAGGACAGUGAUCUGCGCUGGAGGCGGAUGGGGUCUGCUGGGCACUGGCGUGUGCGGCUGCACAGUCUGACACGCCAUCCUGCGGCGGCUGGAGCAGCACAGCUGUGCUUCCUGGGGGGUCACAACAGGUGCCUCUGGCUGGGUUUCCUGUGUGAAUCAGGUCUCCUAUAGCUCAGCCAUCAAACUCAACAGAGACUCCAUCACUGAAGGCAAGAGAUGAGUUGUGAAUUUAAUUCUGAAUAUAGGGAGGCCUGGGAUCCUUUGAUUUCUUAUUUAGUGUUUAUAUAAAAUAUCUCAUCUUUCCAGUAAGACAUUGAAUUAGAACAAGUUCUAGGGGGAAACUAUGUUGUAUGGCCUCAGACAAUAGAAAGAAGAUGGUUAUUAUUAAUUUGAAUGACAGUAGUACGCAGAGGUUUCAAUCAUAUUGAGGUACCAUUAGGUCAGGCACUGUGCAGACUCUUAGGGACAGAUGUGAACAAAGGUGACUUCAUUGUGAUUACUUAUGGAGCAACAUGCUAUCCAGAAUGAGUAAAGGUAUGAGAAUCUGGGCCAUAGCAAGAGACACUUCCUGCCCCAAAGACCUUUCAGUGGAUGUAAACAGUGUAAUACCCAGCUUGUGUUUACAUCAACCUUUUUUUCUGAAAAAUGUGCUGUUAUUGCUAAAGCUGAUGCAGUGUUAGCAAUGAUAGGAACACUAGGCAGGAUUCUGGCUGGCUGCUGGCAUUUUAAAUCACUGCAUCCUCUAAUCCUGCUCGGUGCAGAUUUAUAUGAUAUGAUGGUGUAGUGGGGCGGCUGCCCUACCCCCAUGUGAGUGGGGGCUAGAGUAGGCCAGAGAGGCUGCUGCCUGCGCAGCCUAUGAAAAAAGGGCUUACUGGGGGCCAAUCAGAGCCAAGAUUGGAGACAGCUAAUCAGGGCUCGGCUUGGCCCUAUAUAAAAGCUGUCCAGGAAGAGCAGCGGGCAGUCUGUCCCAGAUCUUCAUGGGGGGAGGUCUGUCUCCAGAGCAGGAGACCAGCCCCUUGGACAGAGUAGGGCUGGGCAGGCUCAGGGGGAGCGCAGUUGGGCUCUAGCCCAAUACCUGCCAUACUGAGGGCCCUGAGAGAAAGGGCCUAGAGGGUGUGAGGGGCCAGAGGGGAAGUGGCCCAGGGACAGUUGGACAAGGGGAGAGAAGGAGGGCAGGGAGGCUACCACUAGAGGGUCCCUGGGUCGGGACCCAGAGUAGUGAGUGGGCCUGGGUCCCCCCCCCCUUCUCCCUUGUACUGCACCUGGCCAUGCAGUAGGGUGGCUGAGACAAACUACAACUGGCCCUUGAGACAAGGGGCUAGACUUUAGAGGUUGUGGUUGGCCACUGAGGCCAGCGUGAGGACUCCUGAACAGCCCCCCUCUCCCCCCCCGAAGGGGGUGAGGAUGGACUAAGGGCACUGCCGGAGGGCAGUGGCUUGAAAAGGGCGACGCGGGCUCAGAUGCCAACCGAGGGCAAGACGACGGACGGGACACUAUCAGGAAGGGGUGCUCCACUGGACAGAGCUAAUUCCCAGAGACAACCAGCAGGAGGUGCCAGGUGAUUUUUAUAUUCUGUCUCUCAUUUUGAAUUGGAACUGUGCACUACAUCUUGCUAUAAGGACAGGGAUUGCAGACAUUUUCCAGAUGGAACAGAGGUUGGAAAACAUCAAGACUAACUCAGAUGACUGUAUGAAGUGAGCUACAGAAUGUACUUGUGAACUAUACAAACUUUCCUAUAGGACUAUUUUGCUCUUUCAUACUCGUAUGCUAUAAAACAGGGGUGGCCAACCUGUGGCUCUUCAGAAGUUAAUAUGCGGCUCCUGGUAUAGGCCCUAACUCCGAGGCUGGAGCUACAGGCGCCAACUUUCCAAUGUGCUCGGGGGGGGGGGGGGGGUGUGAUCACAGCUCAACCCCUGGCUCUGCCACAGGCCCCGCCCGCACUCUACCCCUUCCCGCCCCCUCCCCUGAGCCUGUCGUGCCCUUGCUCCUACCCUCCAGAGCCUCCUGCAUGCCAUGAGACAGCUGAUCGGGAGGUGCGGGGAGGGAGGGGGAGGUGCUGAUCAGCGGGACUACCUAUGUAUUACUGUGGCUCUUUGGCAAUGUAUAUUGGUAAAUUCUGGCUCCUUCUCAGGCUAAGAUUGACCACCCCUGCAAUACAGGGUUCAUGGAGGGUACAGUGUUUGUGGAGUGGAAGACCUCACCAGGAUCUCAUUGAUGAGUUUCCUCAACAAGGGGGGGAUGGGUGGGGUUUGGCUAGCAUUCUGCUUUCAAACCUCAUGGAUUCCGAGGGAUCUCCAGGUAAACACACGUGACCAGUCUAUCCUACAGCUUUUGCCAUUGCUACUAUCCUGCACUGGUGGUGAAUUGUGCAUCCUGUUUUUGCCAGUGUAGACCACACAUACCUAUUUCCAGCUUUUGGCUGGUGGUUCCAACUUUAUAUUCUGUUCUUCAGCCACCACCAGCUCAGGCUUUUGGCUAGCUGUGGAUGAGUGGGGGCCAUUGGCUCAACCUGCAUUCCUUCCUUCUCCUGCCAGCCAAUCAGGCUGCCCUCAACUCUUUCAUGAUCUCCAGUGAGAGACUCAGAGGAGGUUGGAGGAAGAGCUCAGAGUAGGAACCACUGACCUAUGCCAAGGAAGGGAGCCAUGAGCUCAACAGCAAAAGUAGGAGGAGCUGCUGCAGCUGCUAAGUAAGGGGCCCCGCCUAGCCCAUGUGGGUUCACAUGGGGGAAAUGGUGGUGGGAAGGACUGAGGGGGCUGGAGGGGGAAAAAAACUGAGGGUUAGGGGGAAGGACUAAGGCCCAGAUGCUCAAUGGUAUUUAGUCACCUAACUCCCAUUAAUGUGAGGUAGGUGCUUAAAUAUCUUGCGGAUUUAGGCGUAAUAGAGAAGAAGAAGAGGGGGACUUAAUGGACUGUAGGGAGGGAUAGAAGUGGAGGAGAGGAAAUUAAUGCAGUUGGAGUUAAGCAGAAGACAACUGUAUUUGUGGGCAAGUUUUGCAUGGGGAAUACUUGCAGCAAUAUUUAAAGUUUGCAUAAAGGAAGCAACUGUUCUUCAAAUAUCACUAUUUUUGUCAGACUUUUUGUACCUAUGACAGAUUUUGCAUAGACACAACUGCCUAAAACUGUCUAUACCAAGAUUUUUGUGACAUUCUCUCAUAAGUGUAGCCCCAGCAGUCAUAGAAAUGCUGUAGACCAGCUGGUGGUGUUUUUAACCACCCCUUUUCCAACCCACUGUGUGAAGGGCUUGUCUACAUGGGGAAAUUGACCAGCAAAGCUGUAGCAGAAUAAUUAUAAUUACUCCACUCAGAGUGACCUGAAGAAGAGCUCUGUGUAAGCUCAAAAGCUUCUCUUUCACUAGCUGAAGUUGGUUCAAUAAAAUAUUUUACCUCACCCACCUUGUCUCUCUACUAUACUGGGACAAGCACAGCUACAACAACACUGCAUCUACUCAGAGUGGUUAUUCUGGAAAAGGUCACUUUUAUUCAGGAAUAAAAUAAUAUCAGCAAAGAUAUCACUAUGCCGGUCAUUUUCCCCAUGUAGAAAAGUCCUAAGUAUCACAGUGGUUAAAAUGUCACUGUUGUCAGGUGUGAUGGCUGGGCGCUGAGUGGUGUUGGGGGAGGUCAGACUCAAUGAUCUGGUGGUCCCUUCUAGCCUUUAACUCUGACUCAUUAGCACCUUGCCUGUACUGUCAUUGUCCCUUCAAUUGUGUUCUAUCAGCGUGAAUCCCAUUCACCUGAAAAAUGCCACAUUAGUGCCUGGUUGAUCACUUUACAGGAUCUCGCUCAUAUGCACCAGUUCAUAUAUGGGCAAGCUGUACUUUUGACCUUGCCCUCAAUAACAAACACAAACACAUAUUCAAUAAAAACCAAAAUGAAAAAAACUCUCCUGUAAAAUUUUGCCCUUUGAGAGAGAGGGAAUCAUAUAUGACAAAUAUUAAUCUAUUGUUCUGUUUUUUGUACCGUGCCUAACACAAUAGGGUCUUGCUCUGAGACUCUGACUCCUAGGCACUAUAGUAAUACAAAAAAAAAAUAGUAGUCACACUGCUUAAUGCAUUUCUGGAAAGCCUGCAGAUAUGGUCAUCAGUGGUAUAAGAAUCUGAAUAGAAAAGAAUGUAGUAGUUUGUUUAACUCAAAGGAAACCUUGUCAAAUGCUUUAUAUUAUUUAUUACCGUUCAAUAGCUGAAAACACUUUCCCUCACCAAUUUUGUCCUUUGCGUUUGGCAAAUAGUGAUUUAUGUUGUUUGUUUUCAGUUAAACAAGCAUGAAACAAGCAGGACACAUUUGGUUUAUUCCAUGUGUCCUACUAAUAUAUAUAUUUUUAUCCUAUUUUCAGACAUAUACAAAAAUAGAAGGAAGGAACUGAAAGCAGUUGGAUAAUAUUGCUAACCACAAAGUAACUAAUUCCAUCAAACUGUUCUGAUAGAUAAUCUCAUAUCUAAAAUUGCCAGAGGCAUGAAGCUGUUGGCCUUGGUUUGUCCUUGUGUGCGUUUGUGACUGGGGGAGGAUUUUGAAUAGGACAGAGGACAAACAAGUUUUUAAGAUUCACAGUCACUAGGAAUUCUAAUGACACAAAUGCACCCGACUCAAAUUACUUUUUCAAGUGAAACACCAUGUAUGUUUAAACAGUAACCCAAAACUUGCAGUCUUAAAGCUGACCUGGUUUAGAAAUAAAAGAGUUUGUGUGUUUGUG
This is a long non-coding RNA of Malaclemys terrapin pileata, 4719 nucleotides long. RefSeq lists it as uncharacterized. The record is from RefSeq and is a predicted model, not a curated record. The transcript has 3 exons. NCBI's taxonomy places the organism in Eukaryota, Metazoa, Chordata, Testudines, Emydidae.